This 386-nucleotide long non-coding RNA is filed under the name Parus major (Great Tit). RNAcentral's name for it is "lncRNA (ENSPMJG00000017132.1)". The record is from RNAcentral. Lineage: Eukaryota; Metazoa; Chordata; Aves; Passeriformes; Paridae.
AUCUUGAAGACUUUACCCUCUAAGGAGGCUGAAAAUUCUUGAGGAGAUUCUUGAUAGCCUCCAUUGUCUGCUGGGAGCGUUCUCCCUUGGUGACAGUGUCUGGUGGUGUUACUCCUACAUGAACUUUGCAAAUGAACAACUCUUUUUAAGACUGACAUGUGAAAAUGCAAACAAAAGAUGAAUGACAGGAGUGCAAGAGUCAAAGAAUGCACCAGAGCUGGAUGCUUGAGAAGAGAAAGUGCUAAAGGUUGACUUCAAUGGGAAUGUUCCCUGACGAAGGUGAAGAUUUGACCCAGAAAGACACAGGAGGAAGAAAUAUCCACCUAUCCAUGAAUGCAAGCAUCUGGGAGUUGGGAAGAACACAGCAGGUCACCCCUUGCAAUACU